GAAAGCGGCUGCGUGGCACGGGGAGGGCCGGGGGGGCAUCCCCACCAACACCCCACACUGCCCUCACACACAUAGAGACCCUCCCUCCCGUCCCGGAGCUCGCUGAAGAGAUCCUCAACCCACCGCCGGAGCCCCACAGGGCCACGCUGCCACACGGACACUAUGGGGACAAGAAAGGCUCGAGCUGCGUAUCCAGAGAGUCUGGACUUCCAGGACCCACAGCAGUUUUGCCAGUGGGAGGUAUUUUGCACAGAGAACAACACCCCUCCUGUGUGGAUGAGGUCCCUGUAGCUCUGUGCCUGAGCUCCAGGCUGGUCUCUGCACUGAGGUUAUGAUGUGGGGGCACAAACAGCCAAGAUCACAUUUUUAGUACCAAAUAUAAUGUUUAUUUUUCCGUCUUUUGUCCAUACAGACUGUCUGAUAUCACAGUGCUACCAAAGCACCAUUACUCCACAGCUGCAGAGCCACAAGAAACAGCUUUAUAUUAAAGGGAACGAUGACAAGAAAACAAAAGCCCUUGGGCAAGGCUCCAGCUCACAUAUCCUGAUCUCUCCCUCAUUCUGCAGCUUUCUGGAGCUGUGGAAUGCAGCCACCCACAUUUGGCUGUUCAAUGGUGACCCAUCCCUGCCACCAGCCUGGUGGGACUCUUGCCACCCUGGUGUGGCAGUGCUAUGGCCCCCAGCCCCACAAGCACCAAGAAAACAGAGAGAUGAAUGGAUGCUUGAAUUGUGCCACCACCCUUUUUAACCCCUUAUUCCCCUGCAGGAGUAGGGGCAGGGCCAAGCAUUGCUCCUGGCAGACCCCUGGAGCACCCAGCCCUGAGCGCAACACUACCAGCACCCUCUGCUCAGCCCCAUCCCGCCCCUCUGCUGUUCCAGGCUGAGCAGAAGCCCCCUGCUUUGUGACCAGCCUUUGUCUCUUCCACGCACAGACCUCAUAUACACUGGCACAUACCUCUUCCCAAGGGGCUCUCAGCAGCUCAGGCAGCUCCUGAGCUGUUAGCAACUCCACUUCACGCACUGCUGGCUUUACAUGCCAGAACUCAGCACCUGCAAUGGGACAGAGAUAAUAAGCACAAAGGGAAGCUGCAAGGUGGAAUCAUGCCCUGCGCAAAGCAAGAACAACAGCGGCUGGAUGGGCUGACCCAGCGCCGUUCAGACUUCUGUUACAAUUUCCAGCCCAUAAUGGGAAAACAUCCCAGCAAUACUCAGAACAGCACAAAAUCUGAGUUGCCUUUUCCCCAGCCUAGCACGGAUGGAUGGAAAUGAGAAGGCAUGACCCGACUCAGAGCAGCACUGCAGCCCCACUUGGGGAGGGCAGCCCUGUGCCCUGGCUCUCCCUUGGCAGCUGAGUCACUGCCCUGCUCUGCCCCUGACCCCGCACUGCACGCGCCUGCCAAGCCCCAUUGCACAGAGCGGAACAUUCACGCUCUUGGGUGCGACAGCAGCCAGGCCCAGAUGACGCGGGGCUGUUGCAGAUCACUCCAUUACCUCAUCGUUGCAAAUAUGUUGAAUUAAAGUAACAACACAACUCAGAGCCCGAGUGGGAGCUGGAACAUGAAAUGGGGCUCAAACAACCAAAAGAGCAAAGGGCUUCCUGAAAUCUCAUGCAGUCCGACUGCCCUCUGCCAUAGUUUAAACAUAAUGCCCAACUUGAGCAGCUGGUGAUCUCAGUGCUCUCCUCAAGGGUGCCUCCAUCUCAUCUUCUCUCUGCUCUUGUGCAUGUUUAUUGAUUCUGGAGAGCAGGCAGCAUCCUUCCAUAGCUUGGGAGCUAGCAGCAGGCUUUCAUUUGAUGCAGGAGAUGAAAUCCUUAGAAACAGUGGAGGGAAACACCUUCAGAUCGGCUGUGCUCCAGCCUGCCAUCCUCUGGAGCUGUUGUUAGUGGGAAGGAAGAAGUUCCCACCACAGGAUCGGGGCUGGAAUAGACACUGUGUUCAAUGGGAGCAAACCCCCAAGGGGGAAGUGUAAGUCCUGCCUGGGGGCUGCCAGUGCCAAUACGAUGGGACUGACCAAUCUAUUUUUCCUGACCAACCCCGUGACCUUCUGUAAUGAUGAAACUGCACCAGAGGACAAAGGAAGAGUCACUGAUGUCGUCUCUUUGGACUUCAGUAUGGCCUUUGACAAAAUUAUUUGAGUCCACGAUUCCACAAACAAAGGAAAAGGCAAAACGAAAUGUUGGGGAUGCUCUGUGGGCCCCACGGAGCUCCCACGGCUGGGACACGGCUGGUGGCACACAGUGAGGACAGCAUGGCAGCAGGGCUGGCUGAGCACAGCGAACGUGUAGAACCUCCAUGCAGACACCAAGCAAGGAAGAUACAGCCUUGCAUUUGGGAGGGGGUGGUGUAAGGGAAGGGAGUGCUUAGGAAUAUAAAGCAGCAGCUGAACUGCUGCACAGACAAGAGAAAUUAACUCUUGCAAGGCUGAAAACCUUUCAUUAGCAAUUUGUCAAGCAGACUCCAGAAAUACUGAAAGCAGCUGUGCAAAACCACACGGGAGGGACAGACAAUAGGUUUAAAGGCCUUUCAGAGACUCUGCUGAUGGACUACGGUGAACCCAGCACGUCUCUUCCUGCACUGCAGGGGCACAGAGAUGGGAGAGCAGCUCCAAGGCUGCGCAUCCCAUGGGAGAGCAGCAGAGGAAAGCCGCUCCAGGCAAAGCAACAGCCUUCAACAGCCCCAUAUUUACCACCUCCCUUCCGUGUCUGCUAACACAAUGUCCCCUGCACAGUGUGGGCACUUCUAUGCGCUGGGUGUGCCUGCACCCUGUGCAGAGGGAUGCUGCUCUCCUAUCAGCAAUGUACCGAGGGGGGACCAAGCUCUGGGUCUGUGCAUACAACACAGAGAGCAUUCACAGCUGCCAGGCAGGCUUUGUGCGUUGAUCCCCUUGGGGCUCCAGCAGUGGACAGCGGGAGAGAUAUCCCAGCAGCUGGACUGCAGCGCAGCCAGGGCUGUGAAAGCAGUCGCCUGUGUUCAAUGGGCUUCUUGUCUCCAUCCUCCCUUUGGCACAGCCUCCCCUCCCUGACAGCCUUCUCUCCCCGGCAUAAGCCAGGGCAUAGCUGCCCUCCUGGCAGGUCUCAAAUCCUCCCUCCCCCCUCCAACAUCUUCUUUCCCCAGCAGUGUUUUCUCAUAUCCUCCCACCUUUUCCUUCCAUAAAUGUACUCAGUUGCUUUUUUGAGCCAUGUAACCUGUAAACACCCCCAGCAUCCUGUAUGGAGGAGUGCUGUGAAAUUACAGCUUUGCGUUUAAGCCUUCUCCACCUCGCCUCAUUCAUGCCUCAAAGUGUCUGUGGCAGGCACACAAACACCUCCAGUGAAUGACUUCAUAUAGAUCCUUUGUGUCCCUCUUCUGCAUUAAGCACUCCCAGGUCUACCCAGCCAUCCUUGCUGCACUUUUCCAGCUCAUUAUGUCUCCCCUCGGGCAGAGGAUCCAGCACUGCAGGCAGCAUCCAAGAUGCAGGCACACAGCACAUUUAAGACUAAAAAAAGCCACUGCUGUGCCAUGCCCUGAUGGCUUCUCCUUCCUUUCCUUCCCAGGGAUUCCUACGUCUCACUUGGGGCCAUUCCUGGAGACACCCAAGGUCAGGCUGGACAGGGCCUCAGAGCACCUGAUGGAGCUGUAGGUAUCCUUGUUCAUUCACUGCAGGGCUGGAUGGCCCCGAAGGGACCCUUCC
This 3668-nucleotide long non-coding RNA is filed under the name Gallus gallus (chicken). RNAcentral's name for it is "lncRNA (ENSGALG00010012717.1)". Lineage: Eukaryota; Metazoa; Chordata; Aves; Galliformes; Phasianidae. The record is from RNAcentral.